This 1930-nucleotide unclassified non-coding RNA is filed under the name Amphibalanus amphitrite. Its description in RNAcentral is "spore coat protein SP96-like, transcript variant X2". Lineage: Eukaryota; Metazoa; Arthropoda; Thecostraca; Balanomorpha; Balanidae. The record is from RNAcentral.
UGUUAGAUGUUAAUUUUCAUUAAGCUUAAGGUUCUACGGAAAAAGGCGAAAUUCGCCCCUAAAGGCUUCAAUGUCUGAAUGAAAAAAGGCACUAUGGUAAAGAGGUAGUUGAAAAAUGGGAGGGAGCUGGCCUCUACAAGUUGUUGAUUGAGAUAGAUUAGCGUAUUGACUUUCGAUUGAUAUACCUCAUUAAGCAUAUGGUUUUACGGAAAAUGGCUAAAUUUGUCGAAAACUAUCUCGUUUUUGUUAUAAACCGUAUAUUAGAAAUGGCGACGUGCGCCACUUCCGUCGCCGACGCCAUUUGGACGCCAUGUUGCCCGAGAUUUGAGCGCUUGUACGCCUUGGCUUCUAAAUUUCAAGAUGAAUAUUGAAGGCAGAAGACGGCGUUGUGCAUAUGGGGGGCACUCACUGAUUUCAAGUGAGUCGGAAGUGCCAAAAUUGAACAAGAUUGGUUCCAAGUACGUUUCGAAGUCCGUCAUUCAGGCCCUGGGAAUGGGUGACCCUGGCAAGCUUGCUGGACGAUACCUGUGUCAUAAGUGUAUUUCCUAUGGCAGGUCGCAGAUGAAAAUUGUUCAGGAGAGCCAGCGCCAUUCCGGAUCUGAAAAUGCUCUGCAUGUCAGCAUUGUCUGGAGAUUGCAAUAUCCUAAUCAAUCACUACCCUCUAAUGACCAACGGGUAUAUGCUCAGCACAUCAUCAUAUCACCGUUCCACACACCAUCACAUUACAAACAUCAUCACGCACCAAUUAGUAUGCGUUUCUGCUCUGAAAUGGGUACAUUUCAAUGCUGUUCACAACCAUUAAAUCACAUGUUCAAUCCACUCCUGUUCGUCUGCUCAGUCACCCGGAGACCUUGACCUACUCCUGGUCCUCUACGCCCGCCAGCGCCGCUUCGUCUGCGGCCCCCGCCAGCGCCGCUUCGUCUGCGGUGCCGACCAGCGCCGCUUCGUCUGCGGCCCCCGCCAGCGCCGCUUCGUCUGCGGUGCCGACCAGCGCCGCUUCGUCUGCGGUGCCGACCAGCGCCGCUUCGUCUGCGGUGCCGACCAGCGCCGCUUCGUCUGCGGCCCCCGCCAGCGCCGCUUCGUCUGCGGUGCCGACCAGCGCCGCUUCGUCUGCGGCCCCCGCCAGCGCCGCUUCGUCUGCGGUCCCCGCCAGCGCCGCUUCGUCUGCGGUGCCGACCAGCGCCGCUUCGUCUGCGGCCCCCGCCAGCGCCGCUUCGUCUGCGGUCCCCGCCAGCGCCGCUUCGUCUGCGGUGCCGACCAGCGCCGCUUCGUCUGCGGUCCCCGCCAGCGCCGCUUCGUCUGCGGUGCCGACCAGCGCCCUUCUGCAUGGUACCUCGCCUGAUGUAGCCACGCAGGGCGGAGAGUGGAGGGGAUUGUGUUUAUCUAUUGGUCAUCAUGCAUCAGCAGUGUGCGUCCAUCUUGUGCUCCACUGACCUAGGCGCAGUUCCAUGCUGUUCAUUGCCAUGCAGUCCCAUGUUCAAUCCACUCCUGUUCGUCUCCUCAGUCACCCGGAGACCUUGGCCUACUCCUGGUCCUCUACGCCCGCCAGCGCCUCUUCGUCUGCGGCCCCCGCCAGCGCCGCUUCGUCUGCGGUCCCCGCCAGCGCCGCUUUGUCUGCGGUGCCGACCAGCGCCCUUCUGCAUGGCACCUCGCCUGAUGUAGCCACGCAGGGCGGAGAGUGGAGGUGAGCUACAGAGAACGUCUCCGAAAGGAGCAGCCUACCUGCAGCCGGGAGGCCAAGCGUGCGCGCCUGUACGUGCAUCCUGGUGAUUAGACUUCAGCGUGGCCCUGCUUUGUGUGCCGCGCCGGCUGUGGCGGAAGCCGGCGGCGGCGUGCCACAAGACUUCAGCGUGGCCUCGCUUUGUGUGCUGCGCUGGCUGUGGCGGGAGCCGGCGGCGGCGUGCCGCAAGACUUUAGCGUGGCCUCGCUU